AUGAACGCUAGCUACAGGCUUAACACAUGCAAGUCGAGGGGAAACGACAUCGAAAGCUUGCUUUUGAUGGGCGUCGACCGGCGCACGGGUGAGUAACGCGUAUCCAACCUGCCCAUCACUUGGGAAUAACCUUGCGAAAGUAAGACUAAUGCCCAAUGAUAUCCCACGAAGGCAUCGGAAUGGGAUUAAAGAUUUAUCGGUGAUGGAUGGGGAUGCGUCUGAUUAGCUUGUUGGCGGGGUAACGGCCCACCAAGGCAACGAUCAGUAGGGGUUCUGAGAGGAAGGUCCCCCACAUUGGAACUGAGACACGGUCCAAACUCCUACGGGAGGCAGCAGUGAGGAAUAUUGGUCAAUGGGCGAGAGCCUGAACCAGCCAAGUAGCGUGCAGGAAGACGGCCCUAUGGGUUGUAAACUGCUUUUAUAAGGGAAUAAAGUGGGUCACGUGUGACUUUUUGCAUGUACCUUAUGAAUAAGGACCGGCUAAUUCCGUG
RNAcentral lists this ribosomal RNA (491 nucleotides) under uncultured bacterium. RNAcentral's name for it is "partial 16S ribosomal RNA". It matches the Rfam family "Bacterial small subunit ribosomal RNA", at positions 29 to 507 of the family's 1533-position model. The record is from RNAcentral.